GACGAACGCUGGCGGCGUGCUUAACACAUGCAAGUCGAACGGUAAGGCCCUUCGGGGUACACGAGUGGCGAACGGGUGAGUAACACGUGGGUGAUCUGCCCUUCACUUCGGGAUAAGCCGGGGAAACUGGGUCUAAUACCGGAUAGGACCACUGCCUGCAUGGGUGGUGGUGGAAAGCUUUUGCGGUGUGGGAUGGGCCCGCGGCCGAUCAGCUUGUUGGUGGGGUGAUGGCCUACCAAGGCGACGACGGGUAGCCGGCCUGUGAGGGUGACCGACCACACUGGGACUGAGAUACGGCCCAGACUCCUACGGGAGGCAGCAGUGGGGAAUAUUGCACAAUGGGCGCAAGCCUGAUGCAGCUACGCCGCGUGAGGGAUGACGGCCUUCGGGUUGUAAACCUCUUUCAGCACCGACGAAGCGCAAGUGACGGUAGGUGCAGAAGAAGGACCGGCCAACUACGUGCCAGCCGCCGCCGUAA
This 478-nucleotide ribosomal RNA is filed under the name uncultured bacterium. RNAcentral describes it as "partial 16S ribosomal RNA". It matches the Rfam family "Bacterial small subunit ribosomal RNA", at positions 28 to 523 of the family's 1533-position model. The record is from RNAcentral.